GGGACGGCUGAAGUAACACGUAGGAACCGUAACCCCAAAGUGAGGGAUAAGCACCAGAAAUGGUGUCUAAUACCGCAUGUGGCCCACGGGCUAAAGCUUUAUGCGCUUUGGGAACGGCCUGCGCAAGAUUAGCUUGUUGGUGAGGUAAUGGCUCACCAAGGCGACGAUCUUUAGCUGGUCUGAGAGGAUGACCAGCCAGACUGGGACUGAGACACGGCCCAG
This 222-nucleotide ribosomal RNA is filed under the name uncultured bacterium. RNAcentral's name for it is "partial 16S ribosomal RNA". It matches the Rfam family "Bacterial small subunit ribosomal RNA", at positions 100 to 334 of the family's 1533-position model. The record is from RNAcentral.